AUGAGAACAUGUGCUUCUGGGGAUAGCAAUUGUCUUCUAAGGACAUGGAUUUGACAUGAUGAGGGCAUUCUGAGUGUACUCAAGGAAAAAGAAGGUAGCUUGGGGACAUGCUUGGCCCUGAGGUCUUACAUGGGAAAGUCUGAACAUCUUAGAGGAGAGAGUCUUAUGCAGAAAGUACCAUUUUACCUCUGCUAGUCUGCGCAGAGGAUACGAAGGAACAGGCGCCAACUGGCUACAGACUGAAUCCUCCACGACUGUGAACCAAGGACAUUAGUCAGAUACUAAUCCAAGCACUCGCAUCCUGCGGGAAGAUGGGAGAUCAGGAGAUGCUACCAGAAGAAGUGAGGAGUCUUCUGGAAGACGAUGGUUUCACCUGCAACAAGUGUAGAGGUGAAUGGGGGCGGCGGCGGCGGCGGCGGCGGCGGCGGCGGCGGCAGAGCAUGGCAGGCAAAGGGUAUGUGCCAGCCAAUUCCGUGCUGGCAGGAUCUCACUUAGGCGCCCAGGAUUCUUGAGAGCACAGAGAGGCCUUGGUCGAUGUUUUGAAGGAUGAAACCGGAAGAGAAGGAUGACUCAUUCAAAGCCUGCCUCUUGGAAGAGUUAACUCUGGAAGCAGACACUCUUCCUCCGGGGGCGAGGGUGAUAGGAGGAAGAUGGAGGAAGACGUGCUAGGAGGUGAGAUUGACGCUAGCUGUGCCGGAUGUUGAAGGGAGU
This is a non-coding RNA of Peromyscus maniculatus bairdii (prairie deer mouse), 711 nucleotides long. NCBI's taxonomy places the organism in Eukaryota, Metazoa, Chordata, Mammalia, Rodentia, Cricetidae. The record is from RefSeq and is a predicted model, not a curated record.